This 445-nucleotide ribosomal RNA is filed under the name uncultured organism. RNAcentral describes it as "partial 16S ribosomal RNA". It matches the Rfam family "Bacterial small subunit ribosomal RNA", at positions 335 to 797 of the family's 1533-position model. The record is from RNAcentral.
ACUCCUGCGGUAGGCAGCAUUGGGGAAUAUUGGACAAUGGGCGCAAGCCUGAUCCAGCCAUGCCGCGUGAGUGAUGAAGGCCCUAGGGUUGUAAAGCUCUUUCACCGGUGAAGAUAAUGACGGUAACCGGAGAAGAAGCCCCGACUAACUUCGUGCCAGCAGCCGCGGUAAUACGAAGGGGGCUAGCGUUGUUCGGAUUUACUGGGCGUAAAGCGCACGUAGGCGGACUAUUAAGUCAGGGGUGAAAUCCCGGGGCUCAACCCCGGAACUGCCUUUGAUACUGGUAGUCUUGAGUUCGAGAGAGGUGAGUGGAAUUCCGAGUGUAGAGGUGAAAUUCGUAGAUAUUCGGAGGAACACCAGUGGCGAAGGCGGCUCACUGGCUCGAUACUGACGCUGAGGUGCGAAAGCGUGGGGAGCAAACAGGAUUAGAAACCCUGGUAGUCCC